Long non-coding RNA from Raphanus sativus (radish), 2870 nucleotides. RefSeq lists it as uncharacterized. The record is from RefSeq and is a predicted model, not a curated record. Lineage: Eukaryota; Viridiplantae; Streptophyta; Magnoliopsida; Brassicales; Brassicaceae. The transcript has 2 exons.
UGUUGCUCAAAAAAAAAAAAAAAAAAAAAAAGAAUCUAUACUUUGAAUGGAGGCACAAAUUGCAAUUCUAACAAAGACGGCUCUGCAUAAUAUAAAUACCACCCUAGUGCAAAAUCACGGACGAUGGUGUUUUACAGAUGGCUCAUGGAAAGAUAGAGCUUUUUUUCGGGAUAAGGUUGGUAUACUACUUUACUAGAUUUUGAUGAUCUAAUGGGGACAAUGAAUGUUAGGCCAGUAUUUUUCCUCUUCACGCAGAGGUAGAAGCACUAGUGUAAACAAUAGAAUGCAUGAAGAAUUUACGUCAAUUUCAGAUUACGUUUGCAACGGAUUGUUCAUAAUUGGUGAAAAUAGUUUCGGAACCAGAAAAAUGACCAGUUUUUGCAAGUUAUUUGGAAGAUAUCAAGACCCUUAAAGAGAGCUUCUUAAACUCAGAGAUCGUUCAUGUACCACAGACAAAAAAAACUUAAAAACUGAUAGUCUAGCACGUAGUGUGAGGAAUCAACCAUCAUUUAUCGUUCAUAUGGACGCAGAUCUAACAGUUUGGUUCACAAAAUCAGUUUGAGUCUAUUAUUUCGCUGAUGACAAACAAUAUAUAUAUAUAAAUAUAUGCGUUAAAGCAUUACCAAGAUUCCUAAAAGAAUAUUUUCCUAGAAAUAUUUCAAUAACAGUUAACAAAUUUAGAUAUAAUGCUAUUGUUUAAUGGUCUAUAUAAUUGUUUUGUUUUAGUAAACCACCAAAAGAUAUAUAUUUGUAAUGGUUUGUGGUGGUUUGGUCGUUGCUAUACCAUGCAGAUUAAAUUAUCUUAUAGUCAUAUUUGGUGAUUAAGUUUUCACAUUGAUACGAUUUGUGUUACGUUUUCAUCAUAUAUUCUACAUUUUAAUUUAUUAAUGUUUAUCUACUUUUCUAUAAAAAAAAUAUUUUAAUAAAGAGUAAUCUACCAAAAUCACCUAAUCUUGGUUUCAAAUGUAAAAAUAUAUCUAACUUCAAUCAAAUGUAAAAUUAACCCAAAAUACUAGUGAAAUUAUAAUUAUUUUCUAAAAAACAAACAGAAAAUCAAUAUGCAUUUUUAUGAAUAUAACCACGGGAAGUGUUUGGUGGGAAGAAAAUCUUCCCAUAUAGUAAAUCUUAAAAUAAUUUAUACAUUUUACAAAAAUAUUUUUAAUGACAAAAAUUAAAAUCAUGUAACUAUAAAUAUUUUAAAUGAUAUAAAUUAAUAUCUAGUAAAAUUAAAUUAUUUUUAACAUAGGUGGGUGAAUGUAAAUGGAGUUAUAAUAUUCUUUAACUGCUUUAGAGUUUGAUAACAUAUGUUAUAGUAUGGUUUUUUUUAGAUUUAGAUUUUGGAAUAUUAAUUUGUUUUUGAAAAAUUAAAUUUGACAUAUAUAUGUUUAGUUUUGUGUAUAUCAAUUAUUUUAAAAGUUGAUUUUAAAUAUAAUGAAUUGUUUCUUUAGGUUUAGUUAGUUAUUUGAAUUUAAGAUUUAGAUGACUUAAGUUUUCUAACAAAUAAUGCACUUGAAGACUUCUCUGAAAAUCUGAGAAAAUCUUAUAGGCGAAUAGUAAAUUUAAGGUUCAGUAGACUAUUAUAAGACUUUUUUGAAAGUUUUUUCAAUCGAAAAUAUUUAAUCUAAUUGGAAUUUGUGUUUUCUAUAUAAAGAAAAUUUAUACAUCCUUUAUCUAAUUCUAAAAUGGCUGCAAAAAAAUGUAUUGUUUCUCUCACUCUGGAACUUUUCAACCUCUCUCUAAUCUCUUUGAACUUAAAAACACCAAACUUAAUGUCAAUUUCUCAUUUUUUGUCUCAUGUCAUUCUCAAUAAUUUAUUUUGUCUUUACAGGUUUUUGAUUACAUGGUUCUUAUCUUCCACUAUUUUAAAGGUAGAUCUAUAAAUUUUUGAUAUGUAUUUUUGUGUGUGUUGUUCUAAACAAUUACAUGUUCAUUCUAAUGUGACUAUUUUAUUUAUUAUUUAAGUAUAAAAAUUAUUUUGAAGUUUUUCUCUGUUUUGAAGUCAUUUGAACAUUUUUGGAUAUGCAUGUUUUUUAUAUCUGAGUCAAAGUUUGAAAGACUUUCGUGAAGUCUUCUUAGAAGUCUUAUAACAUAUAAUGCACUAAAAUACUUUUUGGAAGUCUUCUGUCGGAGUUUUCUCCUAUAUCUCCUCUUUUAUAAUCGAUCUGAUCAGUGUUUUGUUUCAGAUCUGGAACUGUAAAGUGGAGGACCCUGUCCGAGCUGGAGAAAGAGGUCUCAAAGUUUACUGCCGGAGGUGUCAAUGUGGGAGAGGAGAUCUUGUAGGUUGAAGCCAAUAGUGGAAUCAAACAGAUCUGAGUGUUUUUAGCAAGUUUCCAUAUCUGAAUUUUCUUCAUCUAGUAACUCAUCUUGUUGCUUAAACCUCUUAUUUUUUUCUUCAUCUAAGUAAACAGAUCUGAGUGUGUUGAAAUUGAUGAAAGUUUGAGGUUUCACGUUUUUUCAAGAUUUCAUGGAAUACUUGCCGGAAGACUUUCAAGAAGACUUCAUGCGUGCGAAGUCUUCUUGGAAGUCUUCCAGGUUGUCUUCAAAAACCUAGAACAUGAAUAUGGAGGACUAUCAAAGUUUAUGAUUUCUAUCUUAUGUUGUUUGUGUUACAGCUUUUCGAGAUGAGUGUCAUUCUCAAUGCUUAAACAACAUAUGCUCACAGUUUGUCGAAGUGCUACAAAGGGAUGAUGAUGUCAAGUGGAGUCCAAACUUAUCUAUGUGGAUUAAUGAUCUCUAACUUCAUUUGUAAUAGUUUUGUUUAAGGUAUGUUUUGUGUUUUGUAUGUAUACUCUUUUAAUUGUGGAUUUUUUUUUAUAAAAAAAUUGAAGAGAUGUUAAUGCAAACAUCUGUAAAUAUGUUCAUGUCUACAA